GAUGAACGCUGGCGGCGUGCCUAAUACAUGCAAGUCGAGCGAACGGACGAGAAGCUUGCUUUUCUGAUGUUAGCGGCGGACGGGUGAGUAACACGUGGAUAACCUACCUAUAGACUGGGAUAACUUCGGGAAACCGGAGCUAAUACCGGAUAAUAUUUUGAACCGCAUGGUUCAAAAGUGAAAGACGGUCUUGCUGUCACUUAUAGAUGGAUCCGCGCUGCAUUAGCUAGUUGGUAAGGUAACGGCUUACCAAGGCAACGAUGCAUAGCCGACCUGAGAGGGUGAUCGGCCACACGGGAACUGAGGCACGGUCCAGACUCCUACGGUAGGCAGCAGUAGGGAAUCUUCCGCAAUGGGCGAAAGCCUGACGGAGCAACGCCGCGUGAGUGAUGAAGGUCUUCGGAUCGUAAAACUCUGUUAUUAGGGAAGAACAUAUGUGUAAGUAACUGUGCACAUCUUGACGGUACCUAAUCAGAAAGCCACGGCUAACUACGUG
RNAcentral lists this ribosomal RNA (496 nucleotides) under uncultured bacterium. Its description in RNAcentral is "partial 16S ribosomal RNA". It matches the Rfam family "Bacterial small subunit ribosomal RNA", at positions 28 to 507 of the family's 1533-position model. The record is from RNAcentral.